AUAACUCUGCAUGAGCCCAAGGCUCCACAUGACCUCUAACCGUGUGAGCACCGUAAGCCCAUAUGAGGCUGAGGGCAGUGAUGGGUCUGUUACUGGCUAGGUCAGGAAAGCCAUCAUAGAGCAGCGCCAUCACUGCCCACGGCCCAUGGCCAGCAGCAGUUCCACCACAAGCUGUGUGUUGGGUCAAGGCAGCUCCUAGGUGUUGCUCUGCUUCAUAGCUGCCCCAAAGUGCCCCUGUAGCCCUCCCAUAGGUGUCCUUUAACUGCCCCACCACCCCGUAAGGCUUCCCCACGUCCUAGCACAUCCCCCCACGUGCGUGCAGGGUGUGCAAGAAAUGCUCUCAUCCCUGAUAUUCCAUCAGGCACAGCUCUUCGUGCAGCAGCAAAGCUCCUUCCUGAUUGCUGUGGCGUUACUUCACUCUCCUCAGUGAGUUCCUUCUGCUCCCGUUGGGUUGGUUGAGUUGGGUUUGUUGGGAUGAGGUGGGGGCAGGGAUCCCAGAGUUCUGGGGCCACAUGGCAUCGGGUCGCAGCGUGUUGGGGGCAGGAAGGGUCAGGGAGUCACAGGGUCUUGUGGGGGUGUGGUUCACCCAGAGCUGUGGGUCACGUAUAGCCAUGGGGUCACGCACAUACAGGGUGAUGAGAUCAUCUUGGCUUAUGGCUCGUGUGGGGUUACGGCUCAGGGCCCCACCUUUGGGCUGCAUGGACCCCCAGUCCCCUCUCAGGAAGAAAUGAAACCCCUCCUACACCGCUGCCCCCUUCCCCCCUUUUUUUUUUUUACCUCAAACUGCUCCCCACAUCCUCCCAUAGCACCCCAUACUCCUGCGUUCCUCUUGCAGCGCACAUCUUGUCUUCUCCUGAACAGCAUUCUGCUCCUGCAGGCUGUGUUGUCAUAUCCAUUCUAUAUCCCCCACAACCUCCCCCACAUAGCUCCUCAACUACUUUCUCUGACCCGGUACACCUCCCCCUCCUCCAACCUGGGACCUCACAGAGCCCCACAGUCCCCAGCAUCACCCCACGUCCCCCACGGUUCUUCAAGGAUCCCUCCGAUUUGAGGGAGGCUCAGACCUCCCUUUAUGCCUCAGACCCCUCCUGUGUUCUCCGACUCCCACAGUCCCUGACAGGACCCCCAUCACCAUCCCAGGACCCCCAUAGCCCACUGAUGAGGAACCUUGCAGCAAUCCACAUCUCAGGAUGGGCCUCCAGCUGUGCCCCAAUGCCUUCAUUAAAGACAGGAGAAUGAAUGAGC
RNAcentral lists this long non-coding RNA (1245 nucleotides) under Gallus gallus (chicken). Its description in RNAcentral is "lncRNA (ENSGALG00010000117.1)". The record is from RNAcentral. Lineage: Eukaryota; Metazoa; Chordata; Aves; Galliformes; Phasianidae.